RNAcentral lists this ribosomal RNA (597 nucleotides) under uncultured archaeon. Its description in RNAcentral is "bacterial SSU rRNA". It matches the Rfam family "Archaeal small subunit ribosomal RNA", at positions 148 to 746 of the family's 1478-position model. The record is from RNAcentral.
AAUAGCCGAUACGAAACAGACGCUGGAAUGCACUGUAUUCCAAAGACAUCGCUGAAGGAUGCGGCUGCGGCCGAUUAGGUAGACGGUGGGGUAACGGCCCACCGUGCCAGUAAUCGGUACGGGUGAUGAGAGUCAGAGCCCGGAGACGGAAUCUGAGACAAGAUUCCGGGCCCUACGGGGCGCAGCAGGCGCGAAACCUUUACACUGCACGAAAGUGCGAUAGGGGAAUCCCAAGUGCGAGGGCAUAUUAGCCCUCGCUUUUGUUGACUCUAAGGCGGUCAACGAAUAAGAGCUGGGCAAGACCGGUGCCAGCCGCCGCGGUAAUACCGGCAGCUCAAGUGAUGUCCCAUAUUAUUGGGCCUAAAGCGUCCGUAGCUGGCCGACCAAGUCUAUCGGGAAAUCCACCUGCCCAACAGGUGGGCGUCCGGUAGAAACUGGCCGGCUUGGAACCGGAAGGCUCAGAGAGUACGUCCGGGGUAGGAGUGAAAUCCCGUAAUCCCGGACGGACUACCGAUGGCGAAAGCACUCUGAGAAGACGGCUUCGACAGUGAGGGACGAAAGCUCGGGUCUCAAACCGGAUUAGAUACCCGGGUAGUC